Molecule: long non-coding RNA, 1882 nt
Filed under: Equus caballus (horse)
Lineage: Eukaryota; Metazoa; Chordata; Mammalia; Perissodactyla; Equidae
Description: lncRNA (ENSECAG00000057768.1)
Source: RNAcentral
UGCACGCUGGCGUCCGGGAAAAUUGCCGCAGCCCUGACGAUUGACUUGAAAAUUCUCAGAAUUUGACUGUCGGUUUGCAGCGGGGGACCAGACUGGUCUUUCUGAUCGUCUUCAGCCUUAGGGCAGAAUGGCUCCCACUCACCUAUCUCUGAAAGAGAUUCCAGAGUCUUUGCAUGAUUCCCUGAUUCUCCCCCCUUCCCCCCGUUCCUCUGACCUUGCCUCUCGUAUUUGUCUCAGGGCAAUGGAGACUGUGGUGAGGUGAAUUUCAAUCUUUCUGAGUCUUCAAUUUCUUCGACUGAAAAAUGGCGACAAUACUACUCAAGGUUGCUCUGAAGGUUGCCAGAGAUGGACGUGGAGAGAGCUGUGGAGCUCCGAGCCUGUCUGAACUGUUCAGGAAGGACUUAAGUACAGCGGAUGUAUGUGUGUAAAGUUUCUAUGUGAAUCUGCUGGAUUUCAAAGUAAGUUGUGGAUAUUAUGACACUUCAACCCUAAAGAUUUCUGCAUGCAUCUCCUACAAAUAUGGACAUUCUCCUGUAUGACCACAAUGCCGUUAUUAUGCCUAAGAACCAAAGCCAGUUGAUUACAUCUCCCCAGUAUGUCUCCAAUUUAGCCGCUUUUCUUCAGGCCACAAGUUUCCUGUAUCUUCAAGAGUGCAAUCAUCUCCUAACGGUUCCUCCUUCAAUCCACGCUCCACGCUGCUGCAAAGAGAACUUUCGACAGUGGAGAUCUGAUUAUGUCACUUCCCUACUUCAGACUUUCCAAUGGUUUUGCAUUACCUUCAAAAUAAAGAAUAAACUUCACACGGCAGACAGAGCCUUCAUCAUCCAGAUUCAUCUAGAGCAGCAUUGCCCAGUAGAAAUACAUGAGCAAUAUAUGUAGCUCUAAAUUUAUAAUAGCCACAUUUAAAAAAAUUUUUUUAAAUUACAGGUGAAGUUAGUUUAAAAAAUACAUUUUAUUUAACCCAAUAUAUUAAAAAUAUCAUAGCAACACAAACCCAGUAUAAAAAUUAUUAAUGAGGUGUCUUAUAUUCCUUUUUUCUAAGUUCUCAAAAUCUGGUGUGUAUUUAACACAUACAGCACAUCUUAAUUCAGAUGCUAAAUUUUCAAAGGUUAAAGUGAAAUGUGUUCCCACCAAAGCAAUAAUGUUAUAUCUCCCCCCCAAAAAAUAAGAAGUUUAUACUGCUCCAGUUUUAAAAUUUGAAUUAAUUAAAAUUAAAUAAAAUUAAGAGUUCUGUUCCUCAUUCACAUUAGCCACAUCUUAAGUGCUCAGUAGCUGCAUGUGGCAAGAGCAAUUCUAGCACAGCAGUUCUCAAAGUGUGACCCGGGGUAUCCCCAAAACAUUUCCAGGGGUCUCUAAGGUCAAAACUAUCUUCAAAAUAAUCUUAAAAUGUUAUUUACCUUUUUCAUUUUCAUUCUCUCAUAAGUCAGUGGAAUGUUCUAGAGCCUACAUGGCAUGCACUAUGACAACAGAUGGAACACAGAAACAUGGAAGAGAAUCAGCAGUCUCCCAUUAAGCCAGAUAUUGAACAGAUUUGCCAAAAUGUAAAACAAAGCCACUCUUCUCCCUAAUUGCUUCCGUUUUGGAAAAUAUCAUUAUUUUUCAUUAAACUAUGUGCUACGUAUGUUCUCACAUAAUGAGAUCAUUAUUGUUUCAAAAUGAAUUAAUAGAUAAUUUUAAAUGUUCUCAGUCGAUUUCUGAUACAGUAGUGAUGGAUAGAUAUAACUCUCAAAAUCAAAAGCUCUUUGAAGUUCUCAAUAGCUUUUAAUGGUGUAAGAGGGCUUCAAAAACAAUUGGUCUCAGACCUGCAAAACUUUCCACACUCGUGGUCGGUGAUUCCUCUCCUCUCUCAUAUUUUUUGCAUGAACUUCCAGUUCCAGACAAG